AUUGGUAUACACUACACCCUAGUGUAGGUAGGGAUACCUACACCCCCCUCUAAACGAUGCGUUUAUCAUGUUACCCACAUCCCAUAACCCACUAACCUACUGUAACUACCCACCAUUCUCUCUAAAACCUUCUUCUUCAUUUCUCUAGACUUUCUCUCUCAUCAAAACUAGAAAAUAUGAACCAAAAUUGCUUCAAAAUACUACAAAAUUGCUUCAAAAUACUACGAAAUUGCUUCAAAAUAUUGCUAAAUUCCUUCAAAUGUCUACAUUUGCGAAGAAAUUCAACAAUCGCAACAACAUUCACAGAAAGAAACCGAAAAAUAUAUUUCGAAUUAGAGAGAUAAAGAGAAUGAUGAUUCAGAGAAGAAUCAUGUUCGUUGAACAUAACAAGGCAUAGUCUGAAGAAACGUGAACCAAAUUAGGAAGCAAGGAUGCGGAACUGAUGCUAUUUGAAGAAAAACACUAAAUAUAGGUUAAAUCGAAGAUAAGCAAGGAAGUUUGCAAAUGAAUAGUACAUGUUAUAUGUUCAUUUAUGAAAGUGUAUAUGUUCAUUAAUGAAUGUGUAUAUGAUCAUAUCUUAAACUUCCUCCAUUUCUUUUUACUUGCAACACAGCCUUGUGGCACGUGUUUUGAGGUCGGGUUUAUAUAAUGUAAACGGAUAAAUUAUUCAUUAUAAUUUUUACAAAUGAUACUUAACCCUAUUCUAA
Long non-coding RNA from Chenopodium quinoa (quinoa), 707 nucleotides. RefSeq lists it as uncharacterized. The transcript has 3 exons. Lineage: Eukaryota; Viridiplantae; Streptophyta; Magnoliopsida; Caryophyllales; Amaranthaceae. The record is from RefSeq and is a predicted model, not a curated record.